Molecule: small RNA, 33 nt
Filed under: Anaerobutyricum hallii
Lineage: Bacteria; Bacillati; Bacillota; Clostridia; Lachnospirales; Lachnospiraceae
Description: CRISPR_Spacer
Source: RNAcentral
CCAUGGCACUUGCAAGGGCAUUAGAACAGGCAG